This 435-nucleotide ribosomal RNA is filed under the name uncultured bacterium. Its description in RNAcentral is "partial 16S ribosomal RNA". It matches the Rfam family "Bacterial small subunit ribosomal RNA", at positions 29 to 507 of the family's 1533-position model. The record is from RNAcentral.
AGCGAACGCUGGCGGCAGGCUUAACACAUGCAAGUCGAGCGGGCACUUUGGGGUGUCAGCGGCGGACGGGUGAGUAACGCGUGGGAACGUGCCCUCUGGUUCGGAAUAACACAGGGAAAUUUGAGCUAAUACCGGAUACGCCUCUUUGGGGAAAGGCUUGCUGCCGGAGGAUCGGCCCGCGUCUGAUUAGCUAGUUGGUGAGGUAACGGCUCACCAAGGCGACGAUCAGUAGCUGGUCUGAGAGGAUGAUCAGCCACACUGGGACUGAGACACGGCCCAGACUCCUACGGGAGGCAGCAGUGGGGAAUAUUGGACAAUGGGCGCAAGCCUGACCCAGCCAUGCCGCGUGAGUGAUGAAGGCCUUAGGGUUGUAAAGCUCUUUUAUCCGGGACGAUAAUGACGGUACCGGAAGAAGAAGCCCCGGCUAACUUCGUG